This is a non-coding RNA of Arachis ipaensis, 782 nucleotides long. The record is from RefSeq and is a predicted model, not a curated record. NCBI's taxonomy places the organism in Eukaryota, Viridiplantae, Streptophyta, Magnoliopsida, Fabales, Fabaceae.
AGGAUUCAUGAACCUUUAUGCUUGUCUCUUUACUUCCUUUCUAAUUCAUGUAGUGCAAUAACCAAAUUGUGCUUUUGCUUCAGCUUGUGGGAGUGAUAUAAUAUGACAUUAGGCUUUAUAACAAAGUCCCUAAUGAAAUUAUCCUUGGUUCUUGAUGAAUCUGAUGAUGAUAUUUGUGGAUCCUCAACAACAAGAAUCUCUUUGAUUGCUUCAGGCAUGCUUUGCCCUUUUAUCAUCGUCUUCCAAUAUUCUCCCACCAAUUGGUACUAUAUAUAUAGAUUAACGUUACAAGUUUACUUGUUCAGGCUUUAGUGAAGUUCCCUUUUGAAGUUUUAAACAAUCUGAAUGAAUCUCCAUUUUGAUAUGUUGAUGAUAUUUGAUGUGAUUAGGCAGGUGAUGCAUGGUUUCUAAAUACUCCUGAACAAUCAUUGGGCUUCAUCCUUGCAGAUCAAGGUUUUGAUGUAUGGGUAGGAAAUGUGCGUGGAACACACUGGAGCCAUGGUCAUAGGUCUUAUUCAGUGAAGAAUAAAAAAUUCUGGGAUUGGAGCUGGCAGAAAUUAGCCCUGUAUGAUACGGCAAAAAUGAUCAAUUAGAUAUAUUCAGUAACAAAUUCAAAGCUAUUCAUAGUUGGGCAUUCACAGAUGACUACUGGUUUUAUUCAGAUGGUUCUUACCAUGGGUAUUCAUCAACUGAACUUCAAAAGUGAGUGGGAACCAAUCUCUUGGUUUCCUUGUGUGAUACGCGUCUAAGCUGCGGUAACAUGCUUUCAUCCAUAACAGGUU